UUCUGGUUGAUCCUGCCGGAGGCUACCGCUAUUGGAGUUCGAUUAAGCCAUGCGAGUCGAGAGUCUUAGGGACUCGGCGUACCGCUCAGUAACACGUGGGUAACCUGCCCUAUGCUGGGGAAUAACCUCGGGAAACUGAGAAUAAUGCCCCAUAGUCCACAAUGCCUGGAACGGUUUGUGGAUUAAAGCCCCGGCGGCAUAGGAUGGGCCUGCGGCGUAUCAGGUUGUAGGGGGUGUAACGUACCCUCUAGCCAUCAACGCGUACGGGUGUUGGGAGACAUAGCCCGGAGAUGGAUUCUGAGACACGAAUCCAGACCCUACGGGGUGCAGCAGGCGCGAAAACUUGGCAAUGCGAGAAAUCGUGACCAGGGAACUCCAAGUGGCUGGGGUAAUACCCAGUUUUUUCUUGACUCUUCAAAGGUCUUGGAAUAAGAGGUGGGUAAGGACGGUGCCAGCCGCCGCGGUAAUACCGGCGCCUCAAGUGGUAGUCGAUUUUAUUGGGCCUAAAACGUCCGUAGCCUGUUUGGUACAUUCGUGGGUAAAUCAACCAGCUCAACUGGUUGAAUUCUGCGAGCACGGCCAGACUUGGGACCGGGAGAGGUGUGGGGUACGCUCAGGGUAGGGGUAAAAUCCUGUCAUCCUGAGCGGACCACCUGUUGCGAAGGCGCCACACUAGAACGGAUCCGACG
This 689-nucleotide ribosomal RNA is filed under the name uncultured Candidatus Poseidoniales archaeon. RNAcentral's name for it is "bacterial SSU rRNA". It matches the Rfam family "Archaeal small subunit ribosomal RNA", at positions 1 to 696 of the family's 1478-position model. The record is from RNAcentral. Lineage: Archaea; Methanobacteriati; Thermoplasmatota; Candidatus Poseidoniia; Candidatus Poseidoniales.